Molecule: ribosomal RNA, 238 nt
Filed under: uncultured bacterium
Lineage: Bacteria
Description: partial 16S ribosomal RNA
Rfam family: Bacterial small subunit ribosomal RNA
Source: RNAcentral
AGGUGUGGGAGGUGUCGACUCCUUCCGUGCCGUAGCUAACGCAUUAAGCACCCCGCCUGGGGAGUACGGCCGCAAGGCUAAAACUCAAAGGAAUUGACGGGGCCCCGCACAAGCAGCGGAGCAUGUUGUUUAAUUCGAUGCAACGCGAAGAACCUUACCAGGGCUUGACAUGCACUGGAAAUCCGUAGAAAUACGGCCCUCCUUCGGGACCAGUGCACAGGUGGUGCAUGGCUGUCGU